AAUUAAAUUGCUGCCUCUGGGUCGCUUGCAAAUGGCUAUCGCUUAGAAAUUAAAGCAAGAUAGAAGGAAAGAAAGAAACUAAAGAAUGGGGUUUGUAUGUAAACUGGAAGAGUAAGAGUGCUUUGUAUUCUGGCGAGGCGACAAGGGUUUGUGUGUUAACUGGAAAGUAAAGGUGGUCACUUUAGCUUCCGGCGAGGCGGCGAGGGUUUUUUCUAUGUCUUUCACCUUUCUUCCAGAUAAAGAGUUUUUUUGCUUCUGUAGUUGAAGUUAUGGUCGGCUACAAUUUAUUGCAUAAACUUCAAUUAUAAAAAAUUAUUUUUUUUGUUUUUUCUUGUUUUUUAAUGAUUCUAUAUCUAAACUUUAACCUUCACCUCAAAUAUAAAUACACAAAAAGACUUUUUGGUAGUGAGUUUGAAUUGUGUUUGUCAAAAUUUUGAAAUUUUUUUUUUUUGUUAAAAUUAAGUUUGGUUUGUAUUUUUUUAAUCGUUUUAAUGUGUUAAUAUUAAAAAUGAUUUUUAAAAAAUAAAAAAAAUCAUUGACAUGUAUUUCGAUACGAAAAACUAUUUAAAAAGUAACCGUUACCGCACUACCAAACAAACUCAAAAUAGUUUAAGGACGGUGGUGGCUUCUUCAAUGCCUUUCACCACACACCAAAAGGAGAGAAAGAAACUGUCGAUAUUCGUUCGAGUUCGAACGAUUUCGCACGGAGAAUAUUUAGCGACUUAUAAGAAAAUGUGUUUUGAUUUUCUAAUUUUUCCAAGCAAAAUACUUUUUUUAAUAUUGAACAUAUCGAUAUCUUUAAUUACAGUCAGUCCAUACAAAAACUUGAGUUUAAUUAAAUUAUAUACUUUAUUACAGAUAAGGUGUCUUGAUUCGAACCCUUUUGCGAUGCCGAAAACAAUUAAAAAUAAAUUAAAAUAAAAAAAUGUAUUAAGAAAAUCCCGAACCCCUAUGCAAAUAUAAAAAAGCUUCGUAAUUAUUUUAAAAUAUGAAAAAAAAAUAUUUUUUAAAAAUUAUAUUUAAGAUUAACAUAUUAAAGAUUUAAAAUAAAAAAAAUAUUAAUUUUGAAUAAAAAAAAUUAUUUUUUAAAAAAAUAUAAGUGGUUGAGAUUUCCAAACGCUCUUGCAAGUUGUGCAGUCCACUGCGGCUUCAUGGAGUUCAAAUUGAUUUGUAAUAUGAACAUAGGGUAGGUGGCUACUUUUGGAUGGAAUUUUUAACUUUUAAUUAAUUAUUCCGUCCUUUAGUCUAGAGAUAGAAUCAUUUCACUUUCGAAAACAAAUCGUAUGCACAAAGAAAUAAAUAAUUUCAACAGGCAAGGUGUGAAAAACGUGGGACCAGACGAAGCUGGACCCUCCCUGUCUUUUCUUCUAAUAAAAGGAACCUUCAUAUUCUGAAGUGGAGCAAACCUAAUUCUUUAAAAUAAAAUAUACUUUUUUUCUUUUAAGUUAUAUUUUUAUUAAUCGAUUGUUAAUAAGAUUUGUCACCCGGUUCAUCUUAUAUAAGAUAAGAUAUAUUAUUAAUUAAUUAUUAAUUUAAAUUAUAUUUUUAUGUGUUAGUUUUUUUAAAAGUUCAAGGCAAAUAUUUUUUACAAGAAAAUCAUUUUUUUUACAAGAAAAUCAUUUAUAGUAUUGUAUUUUUUAAAAAAAUAACACUUGAAUUAUCUCUUUAGACUGUGUGUGUGAGAGAGAGAGACUUGGUUCAAAAUUAGAUUACAGGUGGGAUAGGUCAACUUGCAAAUCAAUUUAUUAACCUGAAUUCAUGAGUUUUUUUUUAAUUUUUAUUUAAAAUAGAGUUGUUUUAGACAAUUUUUUUGAAUAAAAUAAUAUUUUAUAGAUAAAAAUUAAAUAAAAAGAAAUUGAUAGAAUCUCACCUAGAUUUUGAUGCAUUCACCUGUACCGCUAGUAGGUUGGCCACCCAAGCUCAAUAUUGCAGCCAAGGUCUUAGAAAUUGAACCCCACACUCAGUCUGCAGCUCCAACUCCAGGAGGAAUUUGGUCGAUCUUACUGCAGAUAUGUUCUUCUCCCAACCAAGACUAUGUCUCUAUAUAGGAUCACAGUCCUCUGUAAACUAAUAAAUAAAAGAACCUGACUCACCUACGACUCGCCAAACGACUCGCCUUUCGCAUUGAUCAUAUCAUAUUUCCUAAUACUGCGCGCUAUUGAUAUUUCCCCGGCCCCUCGUUUCCCUUUUUGUUGAUCUGAUCAUGAUUAAGUUCUGUUGGAUUUAGCUAUAUAUAUAUAUAACACAAGACUUGUGCAUUCAACUGACUGAUUAUGCCAAUAUAUAUAAUAUGGAGCAAUAUCUAGCUAGAGAUUAUGAUUAAUGUAGAAAUUAUAAGCACACCUUGCCUCUACCGCAUACAGUUCAUUGCAGGUGUGCCAAAAUAUGCAGAUUUUAUUGCAGUACGUACUGCUAGCUGGCUACGAUAUAUAAGAGAUAUAAUAUAUGUUCCAUACCUGAAUUAUCCGAGCCAGCUAGCCAAAAGCUCUCCAGAAAGAAGAUACGAAAAGUGCUCCAAGAUCUGGAAUCCCCACUUGUUUUUCCGCAGCCAAAGUGGCCAAACCAUGAGAAGAUCCUUGUUCAUUCGUUGAAUACUCCUGUAUAUGCCAUGGAACACGAAAAAAUGAAUAGGGAAGAUUCGUUAGGUUACUGAUAAUGCAUCGUUCAAUUAGCGAUAUCCCAUACCUCCAUGGAAACUGCAAAAUGAUCGGUGUUUGAAGGUCGAAGAGUGCUCACAAUCAGGCACUGAUGAAUUGCCUCAUCCAACCCAGGACUCCAUUGCAUUGAAGUACUAGCUGCUAAAAAAUAAGCAUAAAGUGAAGAUGCAUGAAAGCUAGGAUUCCCAACAUGCUGCACCAUGGGAUUUCAUGUAUUUUAUAUUUGUUUUUAUUGCAGUUUAUCGAGUAUAAAACUAGUAGAAUUAACUGAAUAUUGCCUUGUAAAUAAAUUGAAAUCAAGCACAUAAAAUUGGCGCCGGUCCUAACCAGUUCCUCCCUUCAAUAUCGCUAAUCGUGCUUGUGCUGGUUAAGAUCCUCACUGUUAAUUUAAGAACUGAUUUCUAGCUAGCUAAACGUGAUUGUGCUGUCCUAGUUACAAACAGUAAAUUACCUCCAUGAUUUCCUCAGCUUAUUCGGAAUAUUGCAGCAGCCAUCAGUACAUCCAGUUAAGUACUCCUCAGGUGACAAAGUGCGGCAACAAAUGGUACAAAUCCGUCGGCUACCAUAAAAAACUAUCCUGUUCUGGCAACAUAGGGGUGGAAAAACUCCAUUCAUUUUCUCAUGUAUAUCCCAUAUCUCACAAUUUCAUGUCUUUUCCCAUUCAUCAUAGUUUAGUUCCCCUCAAAAACAAUUUGCUGCCAACGUACGGUAAGCCCUUACACUAGCUUGCUAUUCUUACCCAAAAGCUUGCAGAUUUGGAUUGCAUCAAAUUUUGCUUUUCUAGGACAUGAUGUACAAACACUGACAGGCAAUCAUAUUCCGAUAAUGCCCUAGAUGGUGGUGUGAAAAGCCACCCAUGUUCGAUGGGACCAGUAGCGGAGCCAGGAUUUUUUAAAUGAGGGGACAAACUAUUAACAAAUAUUUGAUAUUAUAUAUCAUAUAUAAAAAUUAAUUUGAAAUAUAUGUACCAACUCAAGUCAAGCAAAAUUAAUUUAAGAAUACUUUUAAAAUAAAAAAACUUAUAUUAUAAUUGUUUUCUUUGAGAUUUUAUAUUUUAAAACUGCUUCAUAAUGAUUUUAUUUUUAAUCUGAUUAAAAAUAUAUUUCUUAAUAUAUACAACAAAUUUUCAUUUAUCUAUUUCUAAAUCUUCUAAGGACUAGGAAAGUUCUUGGCAACAAUUCUAUACUGACAUAUGGUACAUAAAAAUCUAAAAUCAUAGCUUAAAAAGAUUGUCACAAAUUAAUGUUGUUUUUGAUGACUUGUUGUUUUGUACAAGUGGAUUAAACAUAAAUAUUAAAUAUUUUUUUUAAUUUAUUUAUUAUGUCCCUAAUUUUUUUUAGUUGUCCUGCACUUCAUUUUUAAUUAUUAGUAAAUUCAUUAUCAUCAUUUUUCAUAUGAAAUUCAUAACAAAAUACCUAUCAAUUCAUCAAAACUCAUUUCAAUUCAUAUCCAUUAGCAUAUAAUAUUACCUAUACACAUAUUAAUUCAACAAACCCAUAAAUUAUUAUAAACCCUAACAUUUUCAAUAACUAAUUUUUAGAGAUGUAGACCUAGUAGAAUUUUUGUCCCAAAAUCCUCUAUUAAAAACGGAAAAGAGAAGGAAUUUCCUUCCUGAAUCUGAUUUUGAAAGGUGGGGGCUGGGGAGGGGGGGGGGCAAUUGCCCCCUCUUGCCCCUACGUGGCUUCGCCACUGGAUGGGACGCCAUCGUUUCUUGUUGUGAUAACUAUCUUAACUCCACGGGCGGCUGAAAGGGGUCUUCUCUUGGCAUCAAUUGAAGCAAAUUAAGAUCAUCGCUCAGCUUACAAGUUUCCAAAGGAAUUGCCUGCAGAAGAAUUGUUGUUGUUAACAAAACAUCAAGAACGAAAACUCAUAGCCUUAAUUCAAAAGACUUCGACACUAUAUCAACAUGAGGCAAAAUCUGAGCUGCGGUGAUUUUUCCUACUUGUAGCAAUCACAGAAACCCCAUCAUCGUUGAUGCCUCACAAUUCAGUAGUGCAAUCCAAGAAUCGCUUUUUUUGUGCUUUUAUCUACCAUAAAUGCACAUCAGCCAAACAAAUCGUGGGUUUCCUUGUUGGUGGGAAAUAUAAGAGAGAAAUAUUAGAGAAAAAGAGAAGAUGUAUUUAAAGAGUUUCUAGUUAUUUAUAAAUCUCUUGUUAUUGAAAUAAAACAGUGUGUUUUAUCUUGAGUGUUUCAAAACUCAUGAGUUUGUCUCCUCAUCUCUUUCUCGCAUCUCGUGAUCCUGUACUAAUUCCCUGAUCUUUCUUGGUAUCAACAACAAGGGAUCAAUUUUCUUACCUUACUUGUAGUGCCGGCAGCUUCACAGGUCAUGUUUUGAUUAGAUGAUGAAGCCUUACAUCGUGAAUUGCCCCUCCUAUGCAUCUUUGGUUUUCGUCUUGAUCAAGCAGUCAGAGGCAACCUAGGUGAACCUGGUAAGAUGUCAAGAUCAAUGAAUGAAGGGUACUGAAACGAGGGAGUAUCUUGCUUGUUGAAAACAAUGAUAAUUAAUAUAUAUGUAUUCAAAUAUGGUGUGCUGAUAUGAAAGAACAAACGCGUACGCAGAGGCCAGGUCUCACAAUGACAAUUUUCGAAGAAAGUGAGACAAAGAGAGAGUCUUAAAAGUCUUCUAUGAACAAUGAUAUUGCGUGGUAGGCCUCGUUAGGGACCCUUAAUUAAAUUGUUUGGAUGUUUCCUUAGUGGUUAGUAUAAACUGACCAAAUAGAUCGAUCAAGCUUAGUUAUUUGUUUCACUGCAACUAUUCUGCUUUGACUUGUCAGCAUGCGGAAACUUCCAUGCAUGGAGGUAAGAAACUUCAAUCAGUGAGCUGGCCAGCACAAUAUGUAUCAUCGUUGAGAGCUUGCGGGAUGCGGUUCAAUUGAUUUCUUCAUUUUCGCCAGAUCGCGUCUUGCUUCCAGACUCGGCCGAGUCUGAUUGGUUGAGGUUGAAUUUGCCUUUUAAUUAGUUGAAAAGCAUUCUGUUGAGAUUUUAAUAUUUCUCCCAUUGAAUAGCUUGAGAUUCCUUAACAGUCAAGCUACUAUACGCAAUGCUCAUAUUAAUCCGAUAUCUAUCCCAGCCAAUCUUUCUGUAUCAAUUCUUCCUUCAUUUAUUUAUUAUUCGAGAGGUUAAUGACCAGGUUCUUUCAAAAACCAUAACCAUGGGGUUUCGAUAUAUAUAUACAUUAUAUCAAUUAUAUAUUUUCAUUAAAACUAAUGAUUGUGAGGUCAAAGAUAUAGUUUCAAUAAUUAGCAGUCUUUUGUUAAAUAAUUAUUCAUGUAUAUGCAUGACAUGCUGUUAUCAUUUUUAAUGAAAAUAAUUAGCAGAGUUUUAUGUUGAAUAACAGGAACAAAUUAAAAGAUAUAAUUAAUUAUUUCUUAUAUAUAUAAGAAUGUGAUGGUGCAAUCUAUGAGAAUAUGUUGGUAGAUUUCUCUUAAACUUUAAUCAUCCGUAUUGAAAAUCUCAAUUCACUAGAUUAACUGAUCAUUCGUCCAAACAAAUCACCGUGGAGCACAAGAUUUCUAGUCAGUGAUUGAAUGGAAAAGUCCAUAUAUAAAAUAUCAGCAAGUUAAUGAAAUUUGUUGAUGGGAGAAACCACUUGUGGUGGCUUUGAAACACACAGGGGGAUAAAACACACGGUUUUAUUACAAAACAAGCUUACAAAUUACAAAAACUUACAAUUUUAAUACACACCCUCUCUUUUCUCUCUUGUGUUUCUCUCUACUCUUUCCCACACUUUAUAACACAAACUUAACAGCUUAUUUAUACAUAAACUGAGAGGCAGCAGGUAGUGGUGGGUGGCAGCAGGUGGUGGUGGUUGAUAUUAGGUUGCAGCAGGUGGUAGUUGGUUGAUAUUAGGUGUUUGCAGGUGGUAGUUGGUGGCUGAUUGAGUUUACCACAACAAAUUCCCCCUUUAAACUCAAUCGAGGGAUGUCAUGCCAAGCAUGAACUUCAAUAUGAUGAAUAUUUCUCCCUUCAAUGGCUUUGCCAAGAUAUCUGCAACUUGGUCAUUUGUUUUGCAGGAUAUCAGUUCGACUUCUUUAUUCUUCACAUGUUCUGAUAAAAUGAUGACGCGUAUCAAUGUGUUUACUUCUUUCAUGAUACACUGGAUUCUUUGCCAAUGCAAUGCUGAUCGAUUGUCAAUAUAAAUCUCGUAGGAUUUUCUUGAGGAAAUCCCAAAAACUUCAGCAUAUUCCUUAACCAUAUUGAAUGGCAUACGGCUGAGUUGGCAGCAACAUACUCAGCUUCACAGCUUGAUAAGUACAAUCGAUUGCUUCUUGGAUGACCAUGUGAAAGAUGUGUCUCCCAUGAAAAAGACAAACCCUGUUGUGCUUUUCCUUUCAUCCAGAUCUCUACCCCAAUCACUAUCCGAGUAGCCUACAAGAUUAAAGUCUUUACUUGAGGUAUAAAACAUACCUUCAUUCAUUGUGCCUUUGAUGUAGCGAAGAAUUCUCUUGGCUGCAUUCAAAUGAGACUGGUCUGGUGUCUCCAUGUAUCUGCUGAACGAGUCCGACUCCGUAGAGUAUAUCCGGUCUGGUACAUGUCAAGUACCUUAAGCUUCCUACUAAGCUUUUGAAGUAAGUUGGAUCAACAUUUCCAACCUUACUCUUCCUCAAUUCCACUCCAUUCUCAACUGGAGUUGAUACCGGAUUGCAGCUUUCCAUCUUGAACCUUUCAAGAAUAUCUUUGGCGUAACCGCUUUGGGAUACAAAAAUCCCUUCUUCCUUCUGCGUUACUUCUAAGCCAAGAAAAUGUGACAUUAGACCAAUGUCAGUCAUUUCAAACUCCUGUACCAUGCUUGUUUGAAGUCGUCAAACAUGGUAGGGUUGUUGCCGGUGAAUAUCAAAUCAUCAACAUACAGGCACGCAAAUAAGAUGCUGCCAUCUGCUCCUUUCUUCACAUAUAUGCGUGUUCAUAUGGACAUUUUUCAAAUCCAUUAUCUUGAAAAUACCUGUCAAUUCUGGUAUUCCAAGCACGCGGAGCUUGCUUCAAACCAUAGAGAGCCUUCUUCAACUUGUAUACUUUGCCUUCAUUUUCAGCAUCAAUGUAUCCAAGUGGUUGUUCAACAUAGAUCUCUUCUUCUAGGAAGCCAUUCAGAAAUGCUGACUUCACAUCGAGUUGAUAGAUCUUCCAUCUAUGUUGUGCAGCUAGUGAGAUCAUCAGUCUGAUUGUCUCUAGCCGGGCUACUGGAGCAAAUACUUCUCCAUAGUCAAUGCCUUCUCUCUGUUUGUAGCCUUUAGCCACUAAUCUGGCUUUGUAUCUUUGCACUUCUCCUUUUGCAUUCUUCUUCGUCUUGUAGACCCAUUUGACACCUAUUGCUUUCUUGUUUUCUGGUAGAUAAGUCAGCUUCCAGGUAUCAUUCUUCUCAAUGGCAUGUAUUUCUUCAUCCAUUGCUUUAUCCAUUUCUCUUCUGUGAUAGCUUCAUUGAAGCUUAAUGGGUCACUAUCUGCAAAGAAACAAAAAAAGUUGUAUCUUCCAUGACUGAGUGGCAUCGUACAACUCUUCAAGAUUCCGCAUCCUUCUUGGUCCUUCUGAUGAGGAUGCUGAUGUGGUGUUGAUGAUGAUGCUCCUGUGUGUGUUCCUCCUGUUGAAUACAGGGAACUGUGUACCGGACUUUGUGGUUCAGCUGCUGGCACAAUCGGUUCUUCUACAAGUACUGUUGGUACUUCUUCACCUUCAAGGAUCAAAUCAGUGUUGAUCCAUUUGACUGCUUCUUGAUCAUCAUUCCAUGCCCAAGAUUUAUCUUCUUCAAAGAUAACAUCUCUACUCGUAAUCACCUUCUUCGUGAUGGGAUUAUACAGCCUGUAUCCCAUCCUUCUUUCACCAUAUCCGACAAAGAUGCAUUUCUCGCUUUUAUCAUCGAGCUUUCUCCUUCUUGCAUCUGGGAUCUUUGCAUAUGCCACACAACCAAAGACUCGUAGAUGAGUAACACUUGGUUUGUGACCACUCCAUGCUUCUUCUGGAGUGACCUUGCAAACUUCUGGUUGGGCAGCGAUUCAGUAGAUACACUGCACAUGAUACAGCUUCAGCCCAGUAUUGCUUGGGCAACUUCUUUGCUUUGAGCAAACUUCUGGCCAUGUCAAGAAUCGUUCGAUUCUUCCUCUCAGCUACAUCCUUCAGCUGUGGUGUAUAAGCUGGUGUGUCUGAUGUCUGAUGCCUUGUUGUGUAAAAGGCUUCAAAGUCAUUUGCUGUAUAUUCUCCACCUUGAUCAGAUCUCACGGUUCUGAUCGUGUACCAGUUUGCUUCUCCACAAUUGCUUUAAAAUCUUUAAAACAAUUGAAUACUUCUGACUUCCUCUUCAGAAAGUAUAUCCACGUCUUUCUACUAAAAUCAUCAGUAAAAGUGAGGAAGUACCUAUUUUGUCCAGUCGACAUAGGCGUAAUUGGGCCACACACAUCUGUGUGUACUAACUCCAGUGGCCUCUUUGCUUUCCAGUUGACUUCUUUGGCAAAACUAGAUCUGUGAUGUUUGUUGAGGACACAACUCUCACAGACUUCAUCUGGAUGAUCAAUGUGAGGCAUACCUUUGACCAUCUUCUUGCUUGCUAGCAUCUUCAGACUCGUGAAAUUCAGAUGUCCAAGCCUCAGGUGCCAAAGUCAUUCUUCACUGUUGGUGAUGGCACUCAAACACCUUGUUGCAUCAUACUGGAUGUUCAAAGGAAACAUCCUAUUCUUGGACAUUUUCACGUAGGCCAUUAAUCUCCCAUUGUUGUCUCUAAUUGUCAGAUGACAAUUCUUCGAGUAAAAAUAUACCUCUCUAAGUUGACCUAGCUGAUCAGGUUCUGCUUUAUGGCUGGGACAUAAUAACAUCGGCGAUGUAUGUAUGGAAUCAUUCUUCAACUUGACUGGGAUGUUGCCUUUACCUUUGAAUGGAACCUUUGUGGUAUCUCCAAAAGUAACUAGACCUUGCUUGGUCUCAUCUAGAUCACAAAUAACUCUCGGUAGCCGCACAUGUGAUUGCUGGCUCCAGUAUCUAGAUACCAUAUAUUCUCUGUUUCUCGCAAGUUUGUUGGACAAGAAAUGCAGAUGCUUCUCUGUCAUCCUUCUCUGCAUAGUUGGCUUGCUCACGUAUCUCCAACGGAGCUUUCCUUGCAUUCAGUGCUAUAGUGCCCAAAUUGAUUGCAACUAUAACAUUUGAUAUUCCUCUUGUCACGGUUAUUGUAACCGCCUCCUCUUCCUCUAGGAGUGAAUGCUUGUUGUCCUCGGCCUCCUCUGGUGUUUCUACCACCUCUUCCUCUAAAGCUUGUAUUCCAAGAUCCUCUUCCUUGGAAUCGCUGAAAUCCUCCUCUGGAUUGUUGACUUCCUGCUUGAGUGGUAGCCACUUGUUGAAGUCUCCCCUUGCUCAUAUCUGUCUUUGAGAGACAGCUUUGCUUGUAAGGCAUGCUCAAUGGCCUUAUCUUCAUUUCGCUUUACAAUCUUCUGCUCAUGAGCUUGCAAAGAACUCAUAAGCUCAUCACUGUCAACUUGUCCACUUCUUGGACUCUUCAAUUGCGACAACAACAAAAUCAAAUUUUGGAUCUAGGAUCUCAAAAUUUUCUCAAUAAUUCGAGAAUCUGUGAUGGCUUCUCCAUUUCUCCUCAUCUGAUUGACUAUCACCAUAAUCCUUGUGUGAUAAUCAGAAAUAGAUUCUGAGGACUUCAUUCAAUAAUUCGAAUUCACCUCGCAAAGAUUGAAGACGAAUCUUCUUGAUUCUGUCAGCACCUUUGUAUUUUGUUGGAGAGCCUCCCAUAUGUCAUUGAUGUUUCAGCGGAAGCUAUGAUCUCGAAUGUCUUCAUCAAGACCUUGAUAGAUGAUGGUCUUUGCUUUGUUGUCUUCUUUCUGUUGACUUUCAGGGCUUGCUUUGUGCCUCUUGUAAGCAUCUUCUCUUCUUUGGACUCUGGUUCAUCAUAACCAGUUUGUACAAUAUCAAACACUCUUGUGACCAAGGAAUGCCUUCAAUCUGAUGCACCAACUAUCAUAGUUGUCUUUGGUCAGCUUUGGGAUGAGUGUUUGUGUACUUCUGUAGUCAUUUUGCUCUUUGAAUGACUAUAUCACCUUCUAGGAGCCGAAUUUGGCAAAACGGACACUGUAGAUCGAUCCGGAAUGGUCCAAAUAGUAGGGAAUCGGUCUGACUUUGUUGAAAUCGGGUCAAAAAUGGGGUGAACCAGUCAAAAAACCAAUUUUGUACGGCGGGCGGUUCGCUGGGGUUAAACCGGGAAUAUUCUGGGGAAUAUUUGGUCGGCUCGGCUGUGGCUGGAAAGCGGCUCGGCUCGGCAUGGAGGAUGGCUCGGCUUGCGGCUCAAAUAUGGCGCGCGUGGACGACACUCGUCGUCUACCUCUGGCGCGAGUGGCUGCGCGUGGGCUACAGUCACCGGAUCUUCAGGCAACGCGUGUUGCUCACCGCGGGAUCUGAUCAGGCUUUUCUUUGCACCAGUGAGUUCGUAUGGAGGAGCUCUACACUGUGGAAGGAUCAAAACUUGUUUUUUACAACUUUGAAAAUUCAGGUAUGUCCCAAAACACUUAUGUUUUCUGACGAAUGGGGCUCUGAUAUCAAUUGUUGGUGGGAGAAACCACUUGUGGUGGCUUCUGAUAACACCUCUAGAUGGCGAGUGGAAAUGGCAGCCAUGAUUCGUGGGACGCUGUUGUUUCGCGUGGUGACAAUUAUUUUAACUUCAGAACCAGCAAAGGGUUGGCGUAGAAGAUCCCAUUGGUCAUAGCCCACAUUGCAAGCAUCAUCUAACACGAUUAAACUUCUCUUCCCAGAAAGUCUCUCUCUUAGCUUCACCUGAAGAACAUUCAAAUCUCCACUGAGCUUACAGGCCUGAUCCUUGGUAACUUCAUGGAGGAUUGUCUCAGUUAUGCUCCGAACAUCAAAAUCUUCUGAAUCAAAAACCCAAGCUCUCAAAUCAAAAGCGUUGGCCACUGUGGAAUCGCUGUACACAAGCUGGGCUAAAGUGGUCUUGCCAACUCCUUCCUUCCCACCUAUGGCAACCACACAAACCCUACCAUUGCUAGCUACUUCUCUCUCCAUUAACAAUUCAAGAAUAAACUCUUUGUCCUUCGUUCUACCAUAAACCUUAGAUCUAUUAAGCAAAGAAGUUUUGGGGGUUCUUUUACCUGCUGAUCUAUGGUGCCUCUCUCCACAAGCACGGUUUUCCAAAUCUCUUGAUCUUGAACUAACUUCCAGCUCGUUCCUGGUAUCCAUAACAGGACUUGGAUUUAACAAACAACAACAGAUCAAUUUCCCUACCAAACUUGUGCCUGCAGCUUGAGGUUCUUCGGUCAUGCUUUCGUGUGAAGCUUUGAAUCGUGAAUUGUUUCUCUUGUGCAUCUUUCUUUUUUAGUCUUGAUUUUUCUAAGCAAGCAGAGGAUCGACUAGCUAAAGGCAACUUUGCUGGGACUAGAAAAUGAAGGGAAUUAGCUGAAGCAGCAGGGAUCUGAGGAUAUGGUAAAAGCUCGAGGGUCCAACAAAGAUGGAAAAGUCUGCAGCAAAAAGAUUAACUAUUCAAAUGGGUCCCGCUGUUAGGUGAUAGACGAUGAUGUUCAAUGUUAUUUUUGUCUUUAUAAUUCCAUUGAUUGGGGAAAAAAGUACUCUCUAAAAGGACUUAGAUAAAAAAAAAUAAUUAUAUAUUGCAUUUAAUUUGUAAUGUAAACUUUAAUUUGAUUACGUGUUAAUUGGAUUUUUUUUUUGGAAUACCUUAAAAGCAUACAUUUUAUAUCAACAUAAUUAUAGAAUUUAAACUUCUAAAUAGUUCAGGUCUGUUUGUUUCUGCGUUUUAAAAACACUUUUGAAAAGAUUUAAAUUUUUAUUUAUUUUUUUAUUAGCUUCAAAUUAAUAUGUUUUUAGUGUCUUUAAAUUAUUUUGAUGUGCUGAUGUAAAAAAUAAUUUUUUAAAAAAUAAAAAAAAAACAUCAUUGAUAUACAUUUUAGCACGAAAAGCUAUUUAAAAAGCAACCGCAAUCACACUGUCAAACAAGAAGAAGAAGAAGAUAAUAUAUCUUCUUAAUUAUUGAAAUAAUCCUUUAAAAUUUAAUAUAACAUGAUAAUUCUAACUUUUAGUUUGUAACUCCAAAAAAGAUGAAUAUUGAAAUAUAGUAAAAAUUCAAAAGAUAGUGUUCUUAAAAAAAAUGAAGAAAAGAAUUCUUUUGAUAACAAGAUUAUUUUCUCCUUGUUUUUGAUUUUUUUUUACAAAUAGUUGCAUGUUUUUUAAGUAUUUUUUUCGGUAUAUAUAAAGAAUGAAAAUGUUUUGGAUUGCUUGGACAAAAGAAUUCAUAAAUACUAACCAUCUUACUAGAGGUUGUGUGAAGAAUAAGAUAAACUUUUAUUUACUAUAUAUAAUUGUUUUAUUCGUGCAAUACAGCUAGAUAGAUGUUUAAUCUGGUUGUGGUUGGAGGGAGAAAAAACAUUUAAAUUAAAAUAAAACAAAAAUAUCAUUAAUAAACAAUGAGCUCAACAGGAGCUUAUCCGGGGAAAAAAAAUCAAAAUAAAAGCUUAUGAACUAGAAACAAAGUAAACGAAAAUUUUGCUAUUUUAAAUAUGAAAUUACAAAAUCUAUAGUAAUUAUUAUUUUACGAUCAUUAAUAAGAUAUACAUAUACAAGUUUCAUAUUCAUAUUAUCAAUUACAAGACAAUAAAAGAUUAGUUAUAUCUUACAAGUAGUUUAAAAAUAAGAAAUAUAUAUUAAAUAAUUGAUUAAUCUCUUGAUUCUAACAUUCAAAUUUAUUCUUUCUAGAUAAAAUGACUAAUAGUGUAACAUCCCAAUAAUUUAAUAUCCUUUGACUUCCUUGAGACUUGAACUCGGGAAAAUGGGGUGAAUUUGUGUUUUUUUUUAAGAAACACAUCAGUAUUGUCGUGGGGGUGCCAGCGUCGACGCAACGUCGUCUGGCGACGACGGAGGCUUUUUCUGUUUCUCCUGUGUGAGGUGUUGUGUGUUGAGAAGAGUUUUUGGAUUUAAUCAUAAAACUAUUAUUAAUGUUUAGGAGUUGCCACCUAGUAUUAUGGUCAUUAGGAGGAACAUAUAGUCUGCGAGAGUCUGGGUAAGGGACUGGUUGUGCAAAGGGAAGACGCGUCACCCCUAGUUCACCCUACCGAAGGUUGUGCAAAGGGAAGUCUGGGUAAGCUGCAUUGUUGUUUGAUUGUUUUUUUUUUCUAAGUCAGGUUUCUAUUUGUUGGUCUUUUCUAAGGUUCAAGGCAGAUCUAUGUUCAUGAGAAAGUCUCUACUUUAUUGGGUUAAAAUCUUAACUCUUCUAAAGUCUGAAUUUUAGCAUCACAUUUAUUUACACCUUGUAUCUUUAAUACCUGAGGAUAUACUUUAUCGUGUAAUUUUGCACCUUACAGAUAUUAAAGUCUAUAUUUGGAUCGUUGGAAGAAGAUUUUUGAUAUUUUGGUCAAAUCCUAAUGAAUAAUCAUAAACUGGUUAUGAUAUCCAUUUUGCAUUUUUAAACGUGAACAAGAUGCAAUUUUUAUUUUUAUGAAGAUAUGCUUGGAAAAAUUUUAGGAUUUGGCCAUAUGCAUAAAAAAAAAUAUUUUGUUUGUUUUAGAAAAGAGAAAUUAAUUUAAAAUAUUUUGAGAUUUUUUGAAAAUAUUUUGAAUUUAUUUUGAAAUAUUUCAGAGAAAACAAGGUAUUUUAAUACUGGAUUUAUAUUUUACAGUGUAAAUAUAUAACCCGAUAUUAUGCAAAAUGGAUAGAAAAAUAUUUGAGAAAAUCAUAAUUUUUCUUAAACAAUUUUUGAAAUUUUUUGAAUGUUCUUUUUUUAAAUGGGGGCCGGGCCAGAUCCAACCCAGCCAUAUAGGCUAGACUAGAACUGGCCCAGCCCAAAGUGGGAAGCUAACUAUUUUGGUCACUGCAUGCAGAAUGAAUUCUGCAUGCAGCGACUGCAGCAGUGAGCACAGGGACGGGUGAUGCAAGGCAAUGGAGAACCACAUGAGGUGGUGAGGGUCCGUGGUCGUGCUGGUGGAGAGGACGGUGUCUUCGCUAGUGGUUGCAACGGUGGAGGCUGGCGUUGGUCACAAGGAGAAGAAAGAAGGAUAAGAAAAUCUGCAAGAAAGAGAGAAGUGGUGCAACCACCAUGUGAGAUGGUUUGAUGGCUUCUUGUGAUGGAGAUGAUGGUGGGAAGACCAGUGAUGAGGGUGGUGGUGGCUGAAUGCCACAGCAGAGAGAGAAAGGACUGGUUGUAGGAAACCUGAGCGGGGAAGGCUGGUUUUUGACCAACUUUACGUUCGAUUUUCCCCUCUAUCAGGCCAUCAAAUUCACCUAUAUUUAUAGGAGGUGGAAGAGGGCAAUAUUGUCUAUACUAGGUAAAAAUUUCAGCCCUUGAUUCAAUUGGAAAGGAUCCUAACCGUUGGCUCAAAGUAGACAUGGUGCACUAUCAAAUCUGCAGCUGCAAGCUGUCUGAGGUGGCCUCUUUAGGUCGGCGUCGGCGUUGAUGGGCUGUCAUUCAACCUGAAAAAGCCAUAUGGGAUUGUAGAGAAAGUGCAGAGGAUCUUUUUCGUGCAAGAUUUGUCAAAUUCGAUGGACGUUAGAUGCGUUAAAUGCACCUACAAAGUAGGUAAACGGACCAGCUUUUCCGGGUAAAAAGAGAAGAUAAUGAACAGUAACCAGACGACGCAUAUCUGGUUUUCUCUUUUUUUAUAUACAUAUUCAAAACGGUGCCGUUUUGGAUUGAAUUAGGGAUUUUAACUGACUCCAAAAUUUCAAUUUUCUUGCAAUUUUGCUCUUGAUUUCAAUCAAUUAAUUUGGAAAAAAUUAAAUUUUGUCUCUUAAAAUUUCAAUAUUAUCAAUUAAGCCCAAAUUUGACUCCCAAACUUAAGUUUUCACCAAUUAAGCCCCAAAUAAAAUUAAGUUGACCCAUUUAAAGUAUAAUUAAGUCAUUGCACUUAAUUAAAUCCUUCAAUUGGACCCAAAUUAAUUCUUAAACAUAAUUAAAAUUUAAUUUGACCCAUGAUUAAAUCAAAUCGGCCUAUUAAAAAUUUAAUUAUGUUCUUGGACUUAAUUUUUAUGCAAAUUCAUCCAAUAGUCAUUUAAUUUGACCUUGAAUUUGCAUUUUUCUUCAUUUUUUGGCGUAAUGGGGUACAAUUAGGCCUUGAAUUUCCUCUAAAAUUGUUGCUUAAUUCCUCAGCCUACUUUCUCCACGUUGUCAGCCUUUAUUAUUAUUAUUUUGAUUUUUAUUUUGAAAAAAAAAAUUUAUUUUUAGAGAAUUACCCAGAAUUGGGUUAUAAUAAGUAUCAUGUUUCAAUAUAUAUAUUAUUUAAGAGUACUUUACCGAAAUUUCGACAGAAGUUAUCGACUCUAGUGUGUGUAUCACAAUUUCAACACUGUCCAAACUUUUUAGACCUUAAUCAAUCACAUUUUCAGUUCAGAAUAGAAUUCAUCUAUAAUUCUAAAUUCUCCAUUUCAAAAUUCACAUUUAAUUGUAGCAUACACUAUUUACAAUAUGUGACACGACCAAAAUAUAAAUAUAUUAUGAACUAAUUACAUACAAUAUUCAUUUAAUAAACCUAGGGUAUGUUUGAUGUCAUAUUACAAACCUAAUAAAAAAAUAUUAAUAAUUAAGUUAUAAAUAUCCUUAGUAUUGGUUUCAUUUAUAUGCAAUUUAUUCUCAAAAUCACAUUACAAAAAAUAGCCAACAUAUUAAAAAUUACAUCAUCGUCACCUAAACAAACAAAAAAAUGCUAUGUAAGAUCUACUAUUUUGUCCGAGUCUAUGAUAAACUUGAAAAAUAAAAUUAUUUUCAUAACAUAAGAACAUAUUGUAACAAAUACUUACUAAACAAACACACACACACACACACAUAUCAAUGAUAUAAGUAUAUCUAAAUUUCACUAACAUUUUGAAUAAACAUCAAUCUAUGACAAAUUCCACUUUAAUACAGUUCCAUCCAUCUUUUGAUGAACUUUUAUUUCAUCAUUGUACUCAUUUAACUAUCAUUGUCACAUCAUGGAAACUCUUAUUCACAACACAUUUGAUUCAUAUUAUGAAUCAUUUCCUCAAAACCCCUUUAAUUCAUAUAAUUAUAUAUGCAUAUUCCAUGAUCAUAUCUUGUUCACACCAUUGUUUCAAUUCAUAUUACAUUUAAAUUUAACAUAUAUCUUGUAACCAUAUCUGGUUCGCGCCAUUGUUUCAAUUUGUAAUACUUUUAAAUUGUAUCAAAUUUCAUUUUGUAGCAUACUUAUCCCUUUUUGAUUUUUUAAUAUUCAAUUUAUUUUGAUUAUAUACAUGUGUUUUCACAACACGUGAUUUGCCAUUAAAAACUUCUUGUGCGAUUAAUUGCUUAGUUUAAUAUCUCAAAAUCUAUAAUUAUUACCUCGUCUGAUUUUCUUUUUCAUGUAACCCAUGUUAUUAUCCUUCACACUAUUUUGACUCAUUUUCAAAAGAUCUAAGGCUGACAUUUUACUUUGACUUAUGAUUUCUAAUGGAAAACUUCUUGAUUAAUGAAAUUUCAGGUGAGCUUUUUUAAUACAAACCCUAUCCACAUUUCAUCUAGUCAUUUACAACAUAAAACUUGCAUGAAUUCUGAUAUCAUCAUCACAUAAGCAACUUUAUGUAACAACCUAAACUUUUAAAACAUAUUUCAAACAACUCCCUCGACAUGGAUCAUUGAAGUCCCUGGACUAUUAUUAUUUUGAUAUUGGCAAUUUGGCUUCUUCCAACAUUUCAUUACCAAUUUGAUGAGUCGUUAACACAUAUAUUAUUUGUUAACCACAAGACCACUAGCCAAAUCACGUAUAUCCUAGUCAUUAAUGCAACUCACAUCACCAGCUCCAUUAUGGACAGUUAAUUCAUCUUUUCAAUCAAUUUUAUGUUCUUAUUAAACCAUCUUGCCAAGUCAUAUAUGUUUUGGUCAUCAACCGAACUAAUGCCACUAGUCCAUUACUAGGUAACUAGUUUUAUACAUAUUAAUAUUCAAGUACAAACAUACUACAUCAUAGACCCUUUACCAAUAAAGAAUCAACACUUAAUUACUAAGGCAUAAUCACAUUUCUAGAUGACAACCAUCAUAUUUCAUCUUUAUUGAAUCAUUAUCAACCCAGCAAUCAGUUACUUUGACGCCUUUAGCUCACUUUAAUACAGCUAAUUAAUCAUGAUCGUUCUUGUUAUUCACAUUCAUAUCUUUAUAGGUAAACACAUUUAAAGAAAAUACAAUUUAACAAGAAUUUAAAAAUAUUUUAUAAAUGGGGCAAGAUGCAAGGCACCUACCUAGAGCUUGUGUACGUGUUGUUGUUUCAUGUUGAUAUCCAGUCCCCAUAGCCUCCCUUGUACCAUCAAGGAUUCAAUUAUCAUCAAUAAUACAACCAGCAUCAUGACUUCAUUUAAAUUCUUAUUCAACAAUUACUUUUAAGCCAAUAGCAAGGAAAAUCCUUAAAAUCACAUACCCUUAUACAUUUUCAUGUUCACAUCCAUUCUUGUAAAUUUAUAUGUUAAAACCCUCACUCAACAACAAUUUCAAGAAUAGAUUAGAAAUUAUCUAAUUCUGGUUGCUUUAGCCUAACCAACACUAAACAUUAUCCAGUGUUUUAUUCAUAAUUGAAGUUGUAAAACUCAAUUUUUAGCAUGGUUUGUCUCUAUGGAAAGAUGAGAUAUAGCUAUAACUUUCGCGAAGAAAGAAGCAGCUAAUUUUUCCAUUUACAAAUAUAAAAUCACUCAUUAUAGUAGCAUAAAAAAUUUGUCCAAUAUUGUAUCGGUUUGAACCUAUCCUCCGUCUUUAGUUCAUAUAUGGGGUUAUAUCACUCUAAAUUAAUCAAGACUAGUUUAAUUUGAAAGAUAACAUAUGUCGCACGUCAAAUCCGCGCGGCAUCGGCUAGUGAUUUUUCUUUAUGCGUUUGCUUGAAUUGGUUGGUUCGUUGGAGUCGCCACCUAGUAAUUUAUUGAGGGCUACUAGGAAACCGGAUGUACUGGUCUUGUCAUAGAUUCACGGGUAAGGAACUGGUUGUGGUUAGGGAAGGUAUUAGCACCCCUAACGCACCCUACCUAAGGUAAGCUGCUUCGUGACUUUGACGUGUUAAAGAAGUUUUAAAAUUUUAUCUUUUCAUCGGAUGUUAGAAAUACAACUUACAUAUAAGUUAAUAAUUCUAGACCGUGAGCAAAUCAAAAUAUUAAAUUCUUCUUUAUUCUUUGCAAUUUUAUCAUAAAUAAAUAAAACAUCCAUAAAAAACAUACAAACACACAUACAGUUUCACUAUAUUUUUUCUUUUCUUGUCCUUUCUUUUCUUUUCCUUUUCUUUUUUUGCUUCCAUAUUUACAAAAUACAAAAACUCAAAACUAAACAACUAUUACAUUAAACAAAAAUUACAUUAAACAAUUCUAAAAUUACAAAAAUGACCCAAAACAACCCGGAACAGUGUCAGGCCGACCUCUGGAGCUUCCGGAACAGUGGUGGUGCGUUGUUCCACGCGCCAUCGCCACUGGUGACGCGUGAAUUCACGCGCUGCCGCUGAUGAAGGUGGUAGAAACCGGUGGAUCGGGAACCUCUUCCUCUUCUCUAUCUCCCUACGCUGGAGGUGACCUGCAGCAACAACAAAAACGCAACCACCAGUUGAUUUUAGUUUUUAUUUCCUUUGUUUUUGAAAUCUGCUUAGGUUUUUUUUUCUUCUUUUUGUCAGAUCUGCUUCUCCUUCUCUUCCUCUCGAUUUCGGAUCUGCUUCUUUCUACAGAUCGGUCUGUUAUGUGUUUCUUCUUCUUCUCUGGUGGCAGAUUGGUUGUGGAGGACCCAACGUUGUGAGUGAGGAGGCGGCGUUGCUACUAUAGCCUGCGGUCGUGUCUGUGCAGCUACCGGUGCCCAUUCGGGUCUUGGUGAGGAUGAGGACCUGCGAGCUGCUAGGCUGAGACAAGAGCAGCUGAAGAAUACAGCGAGGGUUGCCGCUGUGUUUGGUCCAAAGAUGAAAGGAGCGGUGGCUGGCUUCUGUCAGAUGGAGCUGGAAAUGGCUAGGACUAUGGAGGCAACGGCCGGCCUCUGUUUUUGAGGGAACCGAGAGAGGGAAAGGUUUGUCGUGGCCUUGUGACCAGGGGAGCUGGUUCGUGGCUAUUGUGGUUUGGUUUCAAAGAGAGGGGGAAGCUAUGAAGAUGGAGGCACGACUGAAGGUUGAAGAUGAGAAGGAAAAAAAAGGGGGGACAACUGCGUUUUGGCUGAGGUUUGAAGGGUCUGUAGGAUAAAAAAUUUCAAGCGGGGGGAGAGGGGCGGCAGGCUUGGUAGAGAUGGAUUUUAGGGUUAGGUUUCAAAAAUUUUAUGCAAGUGUUGGAAACUACUAUUUAUAGGCAAAUAUGUUGCUAGGUCUCCCAACUUGGUUCCUCAACUUCUUCUUCUUUUUGUAAAUUUUGAUUUUUCUUAUUUUUUUUGUAUUUUUUCGAAAACGAACAAUAUUAACAUCAACUUGAUGAGGAAAAUCAAUGAUUUUAAAAAUAACGCAUGAAAAGUUGAACGCGUUCGAAAGAACCUUAAAAAUUUAAAUUCUUUUUUAAACGACGUUGAAAAUGCUAAAAUGAUGAAAAUAUAUUAAAAAAAACAUAUGUUUUGGAUUUUCAUUCUUUUUCUCUAUUUUUGGAUUUUUCUUAAAAUUUAUCAAAACGUAGGUCAAAAAUUGGGUAGCAACAGAUGCCCCCUCUUUACAAUGCUUACAAAGCAGAACUCAUCAAUGUUUUGCAUAGUAAGCUUUGUAAAUAAAAACUUGUCUUCCUAACUUGUUAAAUCCACUAAUCUAAAGACCUUACUCUCUUUUUCUUCUUUUUUCUUAUCUCUUUCUCUUAGUUUUUUUUUUCUCUCUUUUUUUUUCGUUAACCUGAGAUCCCAUUUGACGAUCUCCUUUAACCAGAACCGAAUAAAAAUGUUCUUCAUGAUGGCAGGGUUUGAACUUUCUCUCUCUUUUUUUUUUCGUUAACUUGAGAUCCCAUCUGGCGACCUCCUUUAACCAAAACCAAAGAAUUUAUGUAGCCCGGUCAACCUGAAAUCCCAUCUGGCGACUCCCUUUAACCAAAACCACCUGAGGUCCCAUCUGGCGAUCUCAUUCAACUGGAACUAAAAAAUAUGUGUAGCUCUAUCAACCUGAAAUCCCAUCUGGCGAUUCCCUAUAACCAAAGCUACAUGAGAUCCCAUCUGGCGACCUCAUUCAACUAGAACUAAAAAAAUAUGGGUAGCUCGGUCAACCUGAAAUCCCAUUUAGCGAUUCCCUUUAACCAAAACCGUCGAGGUCCCAUCUGGCGACCUCAUUCAACUGGAACUAAAAAAUGUGUGUAGCUCGGUCAACCUGAAAUCCCAUCUGGCGAUUCCCUUUAACCAAAGCUACAUGAGAUCCCAUCUGGCGACCUCAUUCAACUAGAACUAAAAAAAUAUGGGUAGCUCGGUCAACCUGAAAUCACAUCUAGCGAUUCCCUUUAACCAAAGCCACUUGAGGUCCUAUCUGGCGACCUCAUUCAAUUGGAACUAAAAAAUAAGUGUACCUCGGUCAACUUGAAAUCCCAUCUGGCGAUUCCCUUUAACCAAAGCUACAUGAGAUCUCAUCUGGUGACCUCAUUCAACUAGAACUAAAAAAAUAUAGGUAACUCUGUCAACCUGAAAUCCCAUCUGGCGAUUCCCUUUAACCAAAGCCACCUGAGGUCCCAUCUGGCGACCUCAUUCAAUUGGAACUAAAAAAUGUGUGUAGCUCGGUCAACCUGAAAUCCCAUAUGGUGAUUCUCUUUAACCAAAGCUACAUGAGAUCCCAUCUGGCGACCUUAUUCAUCUGGAACUAAAAAAAUAUGGGUAGCUUGGUCAACCUGAAAUCCUAUCUGGCGAUUCCCUUUAACCAAAGUCACCUGAGAUCCCAUCUGGCAACCUCAUUCAACUGGAACUAAAAAAUAUAGGUAGCUCGGUCAACCUGAAAUCCCAUCUGGCGAUUCCCUUUAACCAAAGCUAUAUGAGAUCCCAUCUGGCAACCUCAUUAAACCAAAACCAAAAAAAUAUGUGUAACUCGGUCAACCUGAAAUCCCAUCUGGUGAUUCCCUUUAACCAAAGCUACAUGAGAUCCCAUCUAGCGACCUCAUUCAAUUGGAACUAAAAAAUAUAUGUAGCUCGAUCAACCUGAAAUCCCAUCUGGCGAUUCCCUUUAACCAAAGCUACAUGAGAUCCCAUCUGGCGACCUCAUUUAACCAAAACAAAAGAAUGUGUAAAAAACAGUCUCAUUGUAAUGGGUGACCUACCCAGGUGGAAAGAAUAUGAAAAACGGUCUCAUCAUGAUGGGUGACCUACCCAAAUAGAAAAAAUAUGAACUACGGUCUCAUUGUAAUGGGUGACCUACCCGGGUGGAAAAAAUGUGAAUUGCGGUCUCAUUGUAAUGGGUGACCUACCCAAAUGGAAAAAAUAUGAAAAACAGUCUCAUUAUGAUAGGUGACCUACCCAAAGAAAAAAAAAAGAGUGGUCUUAUUGUAAUGGGUGACCUACCCAAGUGGAAGAAUGACCUCAUUGUAAUGGGUGACCUACCCAGGUAAAAAAAACAUGGAGCAUUGGUCGCGUUGUAAUGGGUGACCUACCCAUAAAAUAUUGGCGAGGGCUCAAAGGCGCACUCGAAAUGAGGUAGGGUUAGAAAACGCACUACCCGAGAAGUGAGGGCUCAAAGGCGUACUCAAAAUAAGGUAGGGUUAGAAAACGCACUACCCGAGAAGUGAGGGCUCAAAGGCGCUCUUAAAAGGAGUGAGGGUUAGAAAACGCACUACCCGAAAUGAUGGCUCAAAGGCGCCCACAAAAAGAGGUGUGGGCUCAAAAACGCACUCAAAAUGAGAUAGGGUUAGAAAACCCACUACCCAAGAGAUGAUGAUGAAACACUGAUCUGACAAUGUUAAAAGCAAUGCAUUAUGGUCACUAUGCAUGUAUACUUACCUGAGAAAAAAUAGGUCCCCCUUUCUUCAUGGUGUCUUUCUUUUUUCAAAAGUUGGAGUGCUGGUAGUAAACUUUGAUGGCUUUUUCGCUCUUGCUUACUCGAAUCAUCUCUUGUGAUCUUGACCUCUAAGAAGGAUUUGAUAUCAUCAUACUUCUUUGUCCUCCGCCCUUUAUCUCAAGGGUUGCUAAUUUAGCCCGACAGUUUCUUAGAAAGGGAAUCAUGAAGCCAGCCCUACCAGAUAUUUUUUUAUUGCUCCCCAGCUUGAUCAUGCCCUCAAGUGUUCAAUUCGGGUUUGGGGAUGAGGCUAUGUGAAGGAAGGUUUGACAAGGUGUUUUUUUCCAUGCAGAAUGUUUGGAAAUCCUAAGCUAUUCCAGACACGAAAAUCAUUUUGACGUCAAUUUAAAGUGAACUCAUUCUGAAGAAAUUCAAGUGAUUCCUAUGGAGAGGUUAUCAGAGGUGAUGAAAACCUUUUGUUUUGCUUUUGGUGAAAAAUACGAAGUGACAUUUGGUUGGUCAAAUAUGGUUCAAAUUUCAAUUUGAGAGUUUCAAAGAUCCAGUCUUGAAAGUAUUUAUUUAAUUUACAUGAAUAAUGAUUUGGUUCACAUGAGAAAGCAUUGCCUACUGAUCCAGAUUGCUUGUCUUUGAUCAAAAAGGGACUUGAUUAGGCACGUAAUGUAGGCUUGGGCUUUUGGUUAUGAAGAAAAUGAUAUUUGUAGGCUCAAAAGGUGUUUAAGGGAUUUCAAAACUAAGGAUCACUUGUGCUUGUUUCUUGACCUUUUAUCAUUUGAAUGUCUUUCGAAAAUUGUCUAUCGUGCCCCCUAGUGUUGGGCUUGGGCUAUUUCUCUUUGCUUUUGUUUUCUUCAUAUGGUUUUGAGCAUCAUCAUAUUGUUUUUUUUUUAUGCUCAAAACUUUUGGAUCCUUUGGAUUUUUCUUCAUGCCCCCUAGCUUUGUUUGGGCACCUUUGAUGAUUGAGAAUUUUCUUUUAUGCCCCCUAGUAUUGCUUGGGCAUUUUCGAUCAUUGAGGUUUUCUCUAUGUCAUCGCACUUGCCCCCAGUGUGGGGUGUGAUCCUAGCCAAGGUUAUUUAUCUCAAGAAAAGCAUUAGGCUCAAAAGGGGACUACAAAUGAUAUAUUUUAGCCUCGUGAAAAGAUUAUCAAAGAUGACCUUUCUUCAUUUCAAACUCAUGCAUUUAGGAUCGGUAAGCCUUGCUUUCAUGCGAGUAUACAAUGUGAUUUCUCAUUAUUCAUUCAAAUAAAACUCAGCUUUUGGAGUCACUUCAUGGGUUCUUUUUGUUUUUGUUUUUGUUUUUUUUUUAGGUUUUCUAGGUGUAUGGUUACCUUUCUAAGGAAUCACCUGAAUUUCCAGAACUCGUUUGUUUUGGACAAACAUCAACAUGAUUUUGUUUUUUACUAAACUUUGAAUUCCCAAAAAUCCUUGUGAACAUGUGCGAUCAUGCAUAGUUUUGAAGAAAGGAAACACACCCAAAGAUUCUUGGUGUGAUGGUUUCAUGCUUAAAGGUUAUGCUCAAUGUGUUAUUUGCAUGAAACAACAACAAAAAUGAAGGUAUGUUAUAAACACAUGAUCUUAUUAACAAGAAAGGCUCAUUUGACAAGGAAAGUGUUGUGGAAUUUUGAGCCAAGUUAUCAACAAAAAACUGGAACAGGUUGAAACAAAAUCAAGAAGUUCUGCAGGCAUGAUCAAACAGAGGCAUUUUUUUUUUUGAAGAAUAAGAAUAGGCUCCAUUAUACACCGGUAGUGCAAUUCCCCUUCGGUCAGCCUUCCCACCAAAUCUUUUGCAGAAAUACAUGAUUGUGUUGAGGCUCUUGACUGACGUUUGCCCCCAAUUUCUUCGGGUAGAGUCGUUGUUGGGUUUUGGACAAAGAUGAUAGGUCGGUUGGAAGGAACUUUCCUAGAGUUAUUUUUCAGUAUUUGCUCGAGUAAGCUAGAGGUGAGUCACACAUGUCUUCAGAAACUCCAACUCUUCUUUAAAAUGUACGUUACGACGAGCACACUCUUUAUCUUUCGUGUUUUUUCAUUCAAAGUCAGGUGUUGUAGACUCGUAGGGGACCUACUUUUCAUUCCGGUGCAUGCAUGACAAAUGUAUGAAUAUGUAAUCUAUAUGAUGAACUCGCCCUUCAAGGGGUGACAAUAUGGUCGUAACUCUUGUAUGAUGGAACAAGAAUCGUGAUUUUUGCCCAAACUCUACAAUGAAAAUUUUCUGAGUGACGGCCAUUGUGUCACCCACAAGUCUUGAGUUCAAGAUGCUUCAAGAAGGGUUUGCCCUUAUGCAAAUAACGAUAGCACAUACAACCUAAGGACAGGUUCUAUUCAUUAUGUGAACAUGGGUAGGUUUUCUAUCUGGUCUCAAAAGGGUCUCAUAUCUGCCCAGUGACGUUCUUCGUAAAGACAGUAUGGGGGCGUUGCAAGGAAUAGUUAAGGCACGUAUACCCACCAUUACCAAGCAGGCACUCAGAUAUGAGUUGGGUGUUUCACGCAUCUGAACCCUGACCAAUAGUCUUAGGGCAGAUCGCUAGUUCCCCACCUAACCUAGAAGCUUGUGUGUGCUUUCAAAAAUAAAUACAGGUGAUGCAUGAGACAAUUCUAUAAAAUGCAUGGAAAAAAUAUUAACAAAAAGAUAAAAAUGCAAAAACUUAAACACAUCAAAUACACAAAGCUUAGUCCAAUAAUGUCAGAAACAGUACCUUCCUCAGUGGAGUCACCAUUCUGUCGCAAGUCAAAUCCGCGCGGCAUCGGCUAGUGAUUUUUCUUUAUGUGUUUGCUUGAAUUGGUUGGUUCGUUGGAGUCGCCACCUAGUAAUUUAUUGAGGGCUACUAGGAAACCGGAUGUACUGGUCUUGUCAUAGAUUCACGGGUAAGGGACUGGUUGUGGUUAGGGAAGGUAUUAGCACCCCUAACGCACCCAACCUAAGGUAAGCUGCUUCGUGACUUUGACGUGUUAAAGAAGUUUUAAAAUUUUAUCUUUUCAUCGGAUGUUAGAAAUACAACUUACGUAUAAGUUAAUAAUUCUAGACCGUGCGCAAAUCAAAAUAUUAAAUUCUUCUUUAUUCUUUGCAAUUUUAUCAUAAAUAAAAAAAACAUCCAUAAAAAACAUACAAACACACAUACACUUUCACUAUAUUUUUUCUUUUCUUUUCUUUUCCUUUCUUUUCUUUUCCUUUUCCUUUUCUGAUUCCAUAUUUACAAAAUACAAAAACUCAGAACUAAACAAAUAUUACAUUAAACAAAAAUUACAUUAAACAAUUCUAAAAUUACAAAAAUGACCCAAAACAACCCGGAACAGUGUCAAGCCGACCUCUGGAGCUGCCGGAAUAGUAGUGGCGCGUUGUUCCACGUGCCAUCGCCACUGGCGGCGCGUGGAUUCACGUGCCACCGCCGAUGAUGGUGGCAGAAACCGGUGGAUCGAGAACCUCUUCCUCUUCUCUAUCUCCCUGCGCUGGAGGUGACCUGCAGCAACAACAAAAACGCAACCACCAGUUGAUUUUUGUUUUUAUUUCCUUUGUUUUUGAAAUCUGCUUCGGUUUUUUUUUCUUCUUUUUGUCAGAUCUGCUUCUCCUUCUCUUCCUCUCAGUUUUGGAUCUGCUUCUUUCUACAGAUUGGUCUGUUAUGUGUUUCUUCUUCUUCUCCGGUGGCAGAUCUGCCAUGGAGGACCCAAAGUUGUGAGUGAGGAGGCAGCGUUGCUGCUAUAGCCUGCGGUCGUGUCUGUACAAUUGUUGGUGCCGAUUCGGGUCUUGGUGAGGACGAGGACCUGCAGGCUGCUAGGCUGAGACAGGAGCAACUGAAGAAUACAACAAGGGCUGCCGCUAUGUUCGGUCCAGAGAUGAAAGGAGCGGCGGCCGGCUUCUAUCAGACAGAGCUGGAAAUGGUUGGGACUAUGGAGGCAACGACCAGCCUCUGUUUCUGGGGGAAGCGAGAGAGGGAAAGGUUUGUCGUGUCCUUGUGACCAGGGGAGCUGGUUCAUGGCUGUUGUGGUUUGGUUUCAAAGAGAGGGGGAAGCUGUGAAGAUGGAGGCACGACUGAAGGUUGAAGAUGAGAAGGGAAAAAAGGGGGGGACGGUUGUGUUUUGGUUGAGGUUUGAGGGGUCUGUAGGAUAAAAAUUUCAAGCGGGGGGAGAGGGGCGGCAGGCUUGGUAGAGAUGGAUUUUAGGGUUAGGUUUCCUCAUUUUUUUGUAUUUUUUUUCUUUCAAAAUUGCCCCCCUAUGCAAGUGUUGGAAACUACUAUUUAUAGGCAAAUAUGUUGCUAGGUCUCCCAACUUGGUCCCUCAACUUCUUCUUUUUUGUAAAUUUUGAUUUUUCUUAUUUUUUUUGUAUUUUUUUGAAAACGAGCAAUAUUAACGUCAACUCAAUGAGGAAAAUCAAUGAUUUUAAAAAUGACGCGUGAAAAGUCGAACGCGUUCGAAAGACCCUUAAAAUUUUAAAUUCUUUUUUAGACGACGUUGAAAAUGCUAAAAUGAUGAAAAUAAAUUAAAAAACAUAUUUUUUGGAUUUUUGUUGUUUUUCUCUAUUUUUGGAUUUUUCUGAAAAUUUAUCAAAAUAUAGGUCAAAAAUUGGGUAGCAACAACAUCCAUACAUAUAACUUUGGUAGAGAAACAAACUCCAAACUUUAUCAUUUUAAGGCUCAAAUUAAACAAUCACUGUAGCAUCCAAAAUCUAUGUAGAUUUAUAUCGGUUUAGACCAUUGCUCAGUAUUUAGCUUAUAUAUGGAGUUAACAACUCCAAAUUAAUCAAGAUUAGUUUCAUUUGAAAUCUAACAUCCAUACUUACAACGUUCAUAGAAAAACUAAAUCCAAGUUAUAUCUUUUUAAGGCUCAAAAUAAACAAUCACAGUAGCCUUUUUUUUUCAACUAAAAUUUUGGACAAGGAUUUUCACCCCUUGAAAAUCCUUUACAACUUCCAACUAAUUCUCAUUUAUAAACAAUAUUAUCCAAGGUCAUUUAGCAUCGUUACAUAACAUAUUUAAACCAAAUCUAAAUCAAGACAUUCAAAUAAUUUCCCUUCAUCUACAACAUAGCAAGAUUUGGUCAAAAUAGAGAAACUCAUUCCCUUGGAAUUUCUCCUCUUUCUUUUCCAUACUACAUACAUUAAUAUUCUUGUUUAGAAUUAUUAACACAACAAAAAAUAAACCAUUCAUUUCUCACUUUCUCCUUUUACAAUUAAACAUAUGCAACAAACCUUUAACAACAUACACUUAUGUUAAUCUUACAUUAGUUUUUUUUUUUCCAACACAUAUCAUUUCAAGCUUAGCUAUAGUUCAUCACAACAAUCAUUCAAAAUCCCUCCCCCAAUAUUUUCUAUUUUGGCUGAAUAUCCUCCAUGGUAUAGCCAAUAUUGUCACUUCAGCUUUUAACAUGCAUUCCAUCCCAAAACAACUAAAAAAUAUCAAAUCAAUCAACAAAACCCAAACCCUGCAAGUAUUUCUUUUUUUCCUAAUGCCACCAUGAAUCAAAACCAUGGAUUUUCCUUCAACUUUUCCAAUAAUUUCACAUUACCAACUCUUAGAUACAUACAAAAACACAUUUUUAUCAAAGUGUAAGAACAACAAUUCAUCAUUCAAUCAAACUCAAGCUUAAACACAUACCCAUUUUAUACCUAUAACCAAAACCAACUAAGAAUUGCAUAUAAAUAAAGGUGAAGGCUUGCUUACCAUUUUAAACACUAUUUCCAUGGAGUUUGAUGCAUGAGACCCCAAACUCGUCUUCCUUCUCUUCAAGAUUUCUCACUUUCCCCCUCUACAUAUUCAUCUUCUUUUCUUGGUUUCUCACUUCAAAACUCAUUUAUAUAAUGUUUAUUUUACAAGAGAAUGAUUAGUCCUCAUAAGAAUCUCUUAAUCAAGCAAGAAACCACUCAAAACUUAAUAAGGUAUGGAGGGCUUUUCGUUCUCCCUAGCUUCUAGAACUCUUCAUCCGCUUUUGCUUGUUUAUAAAGAGAAAUUUUGCUUACUUUACCAUUUUACCUCUCUUAAUAUUUUUCCUGUGUUUUUGGGUACACAUCUAGCUACCAACCUAAUUGUAAGGCCCCAAACUCCUAUUAUUCUGAAAUUUUAACCCAAUAUAAGAACAAAUACCAGGAGAGUCCUCAUAAAAUUUUAGUCUGAUCUAACGGUCGGAUUGAGAGUUAUGGUUGAUAACAUAAAAUUGGACAGUAUUGGAAUUUGCAGCCCGAAUUCUGAUUUCAGACCCAACUCCAAACCCAUCAUUCUCUCUCAACCGUGUGAAUUAAAGAGCCUACCAUAUAUUGUUGGAAGGAUACAGAUGUGUUCUUUCCAAAAAAAAACUGGAACAGAAAUGAAAAUUAAUCAUGAUACACACACACCCCCCCCCCAAAGAGUAGCCAAAGGUCCAGUGUGAUAGAUUUGCCCACUUUUAAUCUGAGCCUCUGAACUUAGCCCUUUUAACUUUUUAUGUAAUCCUCUUCCAUUUAGACCUUAUAUUAAGCUCAAUUAAUGGUGUAAAUGGGAUAAUUUCAUCUUUAUUUUUUCAUCAUUUAUUUCAUCUGCAAACUUAUUAUCGUUUCACGGUAAUGUUACCGAUUUUUAAUCGGGAUUUGCACCAACACCUUUUUGUACAGUUCUCUUCUUAACUUUUUUUUUUAUUCCCCUUGUAAUGGCUUGGAAUUAUUUUCUCAUUCUCAAAACAUAUAAAUUUUUUUUUUCAAAAGCGCUUUUGAAAUGCAAAAACAAACAGGCUAGAGUUUCACCUUGUCGCGCUUCUGAAGCACGACAAGGUGAAACUCUAAAUUAUCUGGCUAAACUGGUCAAUUGAUUUAAUCUAGUUGCAUGAACUAGUCAACUGUUUCACACAAAAAUCAUAAUUUAAUAAUUUUUUCUUCCAAAUAUGUUUUAUGAGUCAAAAUACACACAUUUAUCCAACUUGUAGACUAAAAAAUAGACUCCAAUUAAAAUCACAAGAAGUUAUUGUUCACAUAAUAGUUGUCUUCUGUUUUUCAAUGUCAAUAAUGUAGUCGGGCUUGUGAUAACUGGUGAUUCUGAAUAGUCAAGUGUGGGUUUGUCAACCUUUAAAUUAUCUGCCCUAAAAAUAUUAAUUGGAUGGCCUAGCAGAUGCAUUUAUGGACCAAGGGGACAGGUAUAAGCCCAAGAGGAGGUCUGGUCGCACCAGACUAAAAUAACGGCUCAAAAAGGCUAUGACUUUAGAUAUGACCAUUAGAUCACGCUCAAAUCUUUACAGGAGUUUCCAAAGGCCGUUUUCCUUGUAGUAGCCAUUGUGUCGCUAUACUGACCGUCGGAUCUUUAGAUAUCAAGAAUUUCAUCGAAGCCCCUUGAUUUUAGCAGUUUUGAGAUUUUCCAUGUUAUUUUUGUAACCGAUGGACCGAUUUUAUUGAUUAUUACGAACUGGUCAACCAGUUGAGUCAAAUAAUUGGAGUUUCAUUAUGUCUCGCUUAGAUGCGCGACAAGAUGAAAGCGAGCUAAUUGUUUUUAUUUUAUGUGCUGAUUUCUUAAUUUAUCCCUUAAAAGGACUCACUCAUGUACCCCAUUGCUUAAAAAUAUUUAAAAAAGAAUGGUAGAUCUCUUUAAAAAGAAUGCCAAAAAAAUCUACUCAUUCAACGAAUGCUUCUAGCUCCUUGAAGUUAUCUUUCCAUUCAUGAGUUCUCCAUCCUUUCCAGCAUCGGGUGUAGCUGAGUUUCCAAGCUGCGCGUACAAGCAGCAACUGUCGAUGAAUUACAAUCCUAGUUAAGCGUAGAAGGAAAUAUGGAGGAAACACCUCAUGAUUAAAACCUUCAUGGAUAUCAAUAACCUGUGAGGCUUUAGCUUCACAACCUGUCCUAAGACGGCGUGGGAUAUCAAUACAAGAGAUAAAGCAUGGGAUAUCUAACCUAGAGAAAGAAAAACAUCAAACAACUAGAUAACCAAAUGAUCCCAACUCUUGCUCAAAUACCAAUUCUUCACCACCCUGAAAUAACCGCUCCUCCCUAGGAGUUCCCCAACAACACAGCAGAUGGCAGAGCAUUUCACCUGAAAGCUUGAAAAUGGUUCGGCUGUGGCCAGAGCUCUAUGGAACUAAACGAUCGCACCGAUUCAAACAGUUUUUCUUCUGAAAUAAAUUCUAGACAUUAUGAUUGGCGCUUUUACCAACAAAGUGAUUUUUAAUGAAUGUUUAACAAAAGAACACAUUCACAGAGAUGAACAGCCUGAAUUCUUCGGGCAGGAAGCAACGCGUUCGGCUGUGAUAAUUAAUAUCCAAACAACCUGACAUAAUACCAUGAAAAAUCCUUCUCCCUUCAAAAUUAGAAUUAAACACAACUUCCAGCAAGUCAGAAACAGAACACCUUUGUUUCGAAAAUUCAAAAUAUUAUUGAUUACAGAUGGGAUACAUUUUACAUGUGCAUAUGAAAAAGACAUUAUAACAGCAACCCCAUAACUCUUUACAUGUCAUGCCAUCAUCUAUCUCCACACAAGGGAUGUGGGAUAUCAACGGCCAGUACACUCCUUUCUCCUUGGAACAGCGCUGUGUCAUUAACGGACAGUCCCUGAUGCUGAAUCUUCCAAGAGCAUGAGGUAGGCAUCCCCUAGGCAAGGACUUUAAUUUAGGACAAUCAACAAUUUCUAGCUCUUCUAGAUACGCAAGACUUUGGAGCUGCAUGGAUAGAGAUUCCAGAUUUGGAAGUCUUCCAAUCCAAACAGAAGUUAGAGUUGUCGGAAGCAGACACUUCUCAUCUGGAAAGGAAACUGUGCCUGAAAAACAUCCACCAGCGAUACUAAAAUCUCUAAGGCAGGCUAGACUUUGCAAGUUCCACUCUGACAGGCACCCAUCGAGACGAUUACAAUCCCAGAUCUCAAGCGAUGUCAAGUUCGGAGGCAUAUCACCAUUUGGAAAGGAUUUCAGAGCUGGGCAGCUACUAAUUGCCAGUUCUUGCAGAGAUGUGAGUUUUCGCAUCGCAUUAGGUAGAGACUUGAGAUUUUUGCAAUUGUAUAUAGUCAACGUUCUGAGGUUAGCGAGGGAAAAGCCAUCUCCUGGAAAGAGCUUGAGAGCGGAACAAUUACUUAUAUUUAAUUCAGAGAUAUGCUUGAAGCUGCCAAGGCACUCAGGAAAGCUUGACAGGACUUCGCAGUCUGAAAUGGGUAGGUGCAACAUCAUUUCUGAAAGAGGCAUCAAUUGGGAACAGUCCAUGAUUUUUAGUGUCUUGAGUCGAGGUGGUAAUUUCCAAUCAGGAAAGGAUUUGAGAGAUGGACAGCCAAUGAUCUCCAGGUGCUCAAACUGACACAGGGUGCCAGGGCCAUUUUUGUUGUGCAUCAAACCCUCAGGCAGAGACUUUAAUUCUGUACAGUAUCGAAUCUUCAACCCUUUUAACGUUGCAGGUAACAUCCCUCCUGGAAAGCAUUUGAGCGAAGGACACUUUUCUAUCUCCAAGUCUUCAAGAGGACAAUUGCUCAUGCCAUCAGGGAGGGAUCUAAGAGCUUUGCAAUCCCGAAGUACUAGAUGUCUCAGUGACGAUAAAAGUCCAGCUUCAGGAAUGGACACAAGAUUUGGACAUGAUUCAAUGCACAGAUCCUCAAGAGACAAAAGCACGCGCACCCUAUGGAUUGGCAGAAGAUCCAGCUUACCACAGCCUGACAAUUUUGAACUUUUAUGAGUGCUGGGCAUACCAAUCUCUGUCAAUGACACAAAUUGAGGAUGUUCAAAAUUUUCUAAUCCAGUUCCUUUUUGCCACAACGAGGUUAGUUCGGGGAAAAUCAGAAAUCAUCAGAACUUUAAGUGCUCCCAGUGACCGCAGAAACUGGCCCUUCAAACAAGUAAGCCUUGACAUACUCCAAGUUUCAAUGUGAUUAGGGAGGAGUUAUGAAAUAUGCAUUUAGGUGUCACCUCAUCACAUUCUUCUAAUUUCAGUUCACUAAGCACUGGAAGCUUUUCAUCUGAAUCUACCAAAAUUGGGCAUUUUGAAAUCGUAAUCUUUACACAGGAAGGAAGACAGCUAGGGAACUUGCCAAGCAGCUUGGGACAAUUCCAUAAAGUAAGCUCAGAAAGACUAGGAAAUUCUUCUUCAGCUUCUCCUUCAACUCCAGCUGCGGACCAAGAUUUCCAUUCCUGCAUAUCCUCAAAUGUCAAAGUCUUCAGAGAUGGAAAAGGCUUGAUGGAAGAACCAUAUCCAUAAAACUCAGGACCAACAGUCUCCACAGAAUCCAGGCCCUGUAUGCACAGAUCCCUGAGUAAAGGUAGCCUCCCAAGUGGUGGCAAUACAGUGCAUUUCCUGCAACAAGACAGUUUUAAGUGCACUAUUUCAGAAAAUGAUGGAUGUCCUACCCAUGAAGGAAAUUCUGUCCCGCCAUAGAAUGAAAUCUUUAGUUCUUUAAGGUUUGUAUGAGGAUGUAGUGAGUCGAGAACAAGCAGUUGAUGUUGUGGUUGUCCUGAGUCAAGAACAAGCAUUUGAUGUUGUCGGCCUUUAUCUUUAAUGUCACUCUUAAACCAUUCCAAUUCUAACUCAUCAAGGUUGUGCUUGCCCCUUAAAUUAGCAUGAACUGCAUGUCGAGCAUCUAUCACAUUAUGCAAUUCCAUUAUGGAAAGUCGGCCUUCAAGAUUCUCCAACCCUCUUAAUUCCUCAAUUCCACAGCCCUCCUUUUUUCCUACGAUGAACUUUGACAAUUUCUGAAGACCUGUCAAAUUACCCAUCCACGAAGGCAUCUGAACUAAGUUAUCAGUAUCAGUAAUAUCCAGAUGACAAAGAUUGAUAAGAUUCCCAGUCCCUUGUGGCAGCUUAUUAAGCUUCCUGCAUCCAUAUAAUUUGAGAGUCUGCAAGUUUAUGAGAGUGCUCACAGAUUCAGGCAACCGCUUAAUCUUAGUUUGAGAGAAAUUAAGGUAACGUAACUGCUUCAAAUCACCAAUUGAAUUUGGUAGCUCUGUAAUGCAAUAACCACUCAAUGAAAGAACUCUUAAGCGUCUCAAUUUGAACAGUGCCUCAUGUAAUACAUUUUUACUCAAGUAGCAAUAUGCGGCCCAGGUGAAGAGUAAGUCGCAAUGCAAUGAAAGUUCGCAGACGCUUCAGUUUACCCAGGUCUUUGAACCUCUGCAGCACCUCGUAUGUACGAUGAGUGAAUGACAUAUGGCGAGUCUUUUCAGGAUCUGGAAAGACCUUGUUAUUUUCCAGCUUAUCAUUUAAAUUGACACACGUUUCUCCAGCAAUAGAUUGAGCCAGAUCACUGAUGAGAUGAUGCAUCAGAUAACGAUGUUCAUUGCUGCUUGAUUGCUGGAAAAACGAUCUUGAUAAUAAUUCAUUAAAACAAGAAUAGAAGUCUUCCAUCCGCUUCUUUCCUCCUGCAUCUGGCAGAAAUCCUUGGGCCAUCCAUAACAACACUAAUUCAUCCUUAUAGAAUUCAUAGUCUUUUGGAAGUAUAGAACAGAAAACAAACAAUUGCUUCAAGUGUGAAGGAAGAUGAUAGUAGCUCAACCUCAAGGCUGGAACUAUGCCGCCCUUGUGUUCUGAUAUAUCCCACAUUUUCCUAUUAAGUACACUUUCCCAUUCAUCAACAUAAGGUUUAGUGCGCAAGAGGCCCCCCAGUGUUUUAACAGCCAGUGGCAGUCCCCCGCACCUUCGAACUAUUUUCUGGCCGAUCUCCUGCAGGUCUGGCAGAUCACUGAAAUUGGACCUUCCCAGUGCAUGCUUUGCAAACAAAGACAGGCUAUCCUCAAAUGACAGUUCUUUCAAAAGGUAACAUGGAAAAGCACUCAUCAUUAAUGCAACAUCUUGAUUUCGAGUUGUGAGGAUGAUUCUACUCCCAGGGGAUGUCACUUGGAAAGGACGGCGAAGGACAGUCCAGUCAUCAUAGUUCUCAUUCCAAACAUCAUCUAAAACAACAAGAAACUUCUUCCCCGCCAAUUUCUCUCUCAGCCUAAGUUGAAGCAGAUUCAAAUCCUUCGCAUCGUAACUCCCCGAAACUGCCUCAAGAAUAGUUCUCGUAACCCUAACAACAUCAAAAUCCUCAGAAACACAACACCAAACUUUGAAAUCGAAAAACUUAUCUACUUUCUCAUCAUUGUAGACAAGCUGAGCAAGAGUGGUCUUACCCACACCACCCAUCCCUACAAUAGGAAUCACACCAUUCCCGUACUCAUCACACCCCUUAUCACUAAAAAGCAACUUCAAGAUUUCCUCUUUAUCAUUAUCCCUACCAGAAACAUAAGAAAGAUCCACUAAAGAAGUACUGGGCAAUCUUUUCCUCUUCAACACCCCUCCACUGCCAUUCUCUCUAAGCUCCAGAUUAUUCUUCUCUUGAGCAAUUUCUUGCAAUCUAGCAGUAAUUCUCUUAAUCUUGGAGUCUAUUUUGUAAGUUAAGAGCAAAUUACCAGGAUAAAAAGAGGUUAAGAACCCGGGUAUGGCGCUCUUCGCCUUACUUGAGUUAGCUCGUUGUUCCUCUUUAAGGUCAGUGAGAACCCCGUCGAGCAAAUCUUCAAUAUCAUAGGCCAAUUCACGGAUCUGAUCAAGCCAGAGUUUGACAGCAUGGCUUUCCAUCUGCUUCUCCUCUGCGUCAUCAAGAACAGCAUGGAUCAUAUGCAAAUUUGCCUCCAGUUUCUUGAUAUCAGAGUGGAUUUUUCCUCUGCGAGCGAGCUUGAAAGAGGCUAAUUGGUUGAUUAUAUGCUGAUCGUAGCUGAAAGGAUAGCGUCUCCGAUAACAAGAGCCAUAAUUAAAUUGCUGCCUCUGGGUCGCUUGCAAAUGGCUAUCGCUUAGAAAUUAAAGCAAGAUCGAAGGAAAGAAAGAAACCAAAGAAUGGGGUUUGUAUGUAAACUGGAAGAGUAAGAGUGGUUUGUAUUCUGGCGAGGCUACAAGGGUUUGUGUGUUAACUGGAAAGUAAAGGUGGUCGUUUUAGCUUCCGGCGAGGCGGCGAGGGUUUUUUAUAUUUCUUUCUUCAAGAUAAAAUAGUUUAAGGACGGUGGUGGCGCCUUCAAAACCUUUCAGCACACACCAAAACGAGAGAAAG
This 35411-nucleotide long non-coding RNA is filed under the name Populus tremula. RNAcentral describes it as "long non-coding RNA (PTRE_LNC000193)". Lineage: Eukaryota; Viridiplantae; Streptophyta; Magnoliopsida; Malpighiales; Salicaceae. The record is from RNAcentral.